ACAUAGACGAUGACGGAGAAAAGUAAACGAACAACGGCCUUACAGGGACCGUGUGCCGACCGACUGAGAGCACAUGGAAGGAAACGAUUUGUUGAAGUUCGCUCCUGAGUUGAUCCCUGAACAAGGAAUACCUCCUUCAUUAGGGUGAUCCGUCCGCAUGACGUUACCAUGCAUUGAGCGAGAAAGCCAACACGGCUGUCUAACAAGGGUGGUACCACGGAGUUUCACCGUCCCUUGA
Molecule: non-coding RNA, 238 nt
Filed under: Paenibacillus selenitireducens
Lineage: Bacteria; Bacillati; Bacillota; Bacilli; Caryophanales; Paenibacillaceae
Description: T-box sequence
Rfam family: T-box leader
About the family: Uncharged tRNA acts as the effector for transcription antitermination of genes in the T-box leader family. T-boxes are found upstream of many aminoacyl-tRNA synthetase genes and some amino acid biosynthetic genes usually in Gram-positive bacteria.
Source: RNAcentral